This 645-nucleotide ribosomal RNA is filed under the name Blastomyces parvus. RNAcentral's name for it is "eukaryotic LSU rRNA". It matches the Rfam family "Eukaryotic large subunit ribosomal RNA", at positions 138 to 799 of the family's 3401-position model. The record is from RNAcentral. Lineage: Eukaryota; Fungi; Ascomycota; Eurotiomycetes; Onygenales; Ajellomycetaceae.
UCGAGUUGUAAUUUGCAGAGGAUGCUUCGGGCGUGGCCGCGGUCUAAGUCCCCUGGAACGGGGCGUCGCAGAGGGUGAGAAUCCCGUCUUCGGCCGGCCGGCUUCGCCCGUGUGAAGCUCCUUCGACGAGUCGAGUUGUUUGGGAAUGCAGCUCUAAAUGGGUGGUAAAUUUCAUCUAAAGCUAAAUAUUGGUCGGAGACCGAUAGCGCACAAGUAGAGUGAUCGAAAGAUGAAAAGCACUUUGAAAAGAGAGUUAAACAGCAUGUGAAAUUGUUGAAAGGGAAGCGCUUGCGACCAGAGUCGGCCGCGGGGGUUCAGCGGGCAUUCGUUGCCCGUGCACUCCCCCGCGGGCGGGCCAGCGUCGGUUUUGACGGCCGGUCAAAGGCCCCCGGAAUGUGUCGCCUCUCGGGGCGUCUUAUAGCCGGGGGUGCAAUGCGGCCAGUCGGGACCGAGGAACGCGCUUCGGCACGGACGCUGGCUUAAUGGUCGUAAGCGACCCGUCUUGAAACACGGACCAAGGAGUCUAACAUCCACGCGAGUGUUCGGGUGUCAAACCCGUCCGCGCAGUGAAAGCGAACGGAGGUGGGAACCCUUAAGGGUGCACCAUCGACCGAUCCUGAAGUCUUCGGAUGGAUUUGAGUAAGA